Molecule: small nuclear RNA, 19 nt
Filed under: Arabidopsis thaliana (thale cress)
Lineage: Eukaryota; Viridiplantae; Streptophyta; Magnoliopsida; Brassicales; Brassicaceae
Description: snRNA_02936
Source: RNAcentral
ACGGGCCGGCUCAACCCGC